RNAcentral lists this ribosomal RNA (460 nucleotides) under uncultured bacterium. RNAcentral describes it as "partial 16S ribosomal RNA". It matches the Rfam family "Bacterial small subunit ribosomal RNA", at positions 338 to 795 of the family's 1533-position model. The record is from RNAcentral.
CCUACGGGGUGCAGCAGUGAGGAAUAUUGGUCAAUGGACGAGAGUCUGAACCAGCCAAGUAGCGUGAAGGAUGACUGCCCUAUGGGUUGUAAACUUCUUUUAUAUGGGAAUAAAACGUUCCACGUGUGGGAUUUUGUAUGUACCAUACGAAUAAGGAUCGGCUAACUCCGUGCCAGCAGCCGCGGUAAUACGGAGGAUCCGAGCGUUAUCCGGAUUUAUUGGGUUUAAAGGGAGCGUAGGUGGAUUGUUAAGUCAGUUGUGAAAGUUUGCGGCUCAACCGUAAAAUUGCAGUUGAAACUGGCAGUCUUGAGUACAGUAGAGGUGGGCGGAAUUCGUGGUGUAGCGGUGAAAUGCUUAGAUAUCACGAAGAACUCCGAUUGCGAAGGCAGUUCACUGGACUGCAACUGACACUGAGGCUCGAAAGUGUGGGUAUCAAACAGGAUUAGAUACCCCAGUAGUC